UUCGAACAUGUAAUAGAAUGCAAACUUGGCAAAGAAGCAGGAAAUUAGGAACAAUGGGCAUUUUGUUCUUUGAAACUUAUUUCUCUGCAUCUUGCCAUCCUAUAUCUAUGCUUCAUCCUGAUGCCAAACUCAGGAUUUAAUGUCAAAAUCAAAGUUUGAGAGGGAAUUUGCAGCUUGAAAGUAGAUGGAUUUAUUGCAUUUUGUACGUUAAUAGCAAUUUCCCAUUUUGAUUUGCAAGGACAUUCUCACAAAUUUAGAGACUACUACGUCCCUCUUGGCAGAUAUGUUCUAAGACUUACAAGACUUACAAUGAAUAUAAAGCAUAAUAUUAAAUUUGUAUCAGCAAAAAUGGUGUCCUCACACACUUUAUAUAUAAAAGAAACUCAGGAAACAUGAAUUUUUUAUAGUUAUAUUUUUUCAGUUUCUUUCAUUCCUGUUGUAACAAAGAGACAAAACUAAGUUAAACAUGUAAAAGGUUAAAUUUUAUUUGAAUAUU
Long non-coding RNA from Quercus robur (English oak), 496 nucleotides. RefSeq lists it as uncharacterized. The record is from RefSeq and is a predicted model, not a curated record. NCBI's taxonomy places the organism in Eukaryota, Viridiplantae, Streptophyta, Magnoliopsida, Fagales, Fagaceae. The transcript has 2 exons.